Molecule: ribosomal RNA, 468 nt
Filed under: uncultured bacterium
Lineage: Bacteria
Description: partial 16S ribosomal RNA
Rfam family: Bacterial small subunit ribosomal RNA
Source: RNAcentral
GACGAACGCUGGCGGCGUGCUUAACACAUGCAAGUCGAACGGAAAGGCCCUGCUUUUGUGGGGUGCUCGAGUGGCGAACGGGUGAGUAACACGUGAGUAACCUGCCCUUGACUUUGGGAUAACUUCAGGAAACUGGGGCUAAUACCGGAUAGGAGCUCCUGCUGCAUGGUGGGGGUUGGAAAGUUUCGGCGGUUGGGGAUGGACUCGCGGCUUAUCAGCUUGUUGGUGGGGUAGUGGCUCACCAAGGCUUUGACGGGUAGCCGGCCUGAGAGGGUGACCGGCCACAUUGGGACUGAGAUACGGCCCAGACGCCUACGGGAGGCAGCAGUGGGGAAUAUUGCACAAUGGGCGGAAGCCUGAUGCAGCAACGCCGCGUGCGGGAUGACGGCCUUCGGGUUGUAAACCGCUUUCGCCUGUGACGAAGCGUGAGUGACGGUAAUGGGUAAAGAAGCACCGGCUAACUACGUG